UCGGGUAUGGUGUAGCGGUAACAUCGCUGACUCUCAUGGCCUACAAGCCUGUGAUCUCAGCAGCCCGGGGUUCGACUCCCCGUAUCCGAG
Molecule: non-coding RNA, 90 nt
Organism: Echria macrotheca
Lineage: Eukaryota; Fungi; Ascomycota; Sordariomycetes; Sordariales; Schizotheciaceae
Source: the annotation of a GenBank genome assembly